Molecule: long non-coding RNA, 455 nt
Filed under: Vulpes vulpes (red fox)
Lineage: Eukaryota; Metazoa; Chordata; Mammalia; Carnivora; Canidae
Description: lncRNA (ENSVVUG00000016076.1)
Source: RNAcentral
CAUAACUGAAUUAGUGAAAUUUGCCAUCCUGAUUAGCUAUUUUCCACUUGUUACUUUAGAAUUAUCAAGGCCUUGGAGAGGAGAAGGAAGAAGAAAGGCACAAAUGCUUCAGAUUGCUAUCCUUUGACACUAAGGAAAUGAAUUAGUAAAUAGAGAUGAUGAGCUCUUGGACAGAAUAAAAGAUCAUGGUUGCUUUCAAAAGAAAUGUCAGAUUGCUAAAAUGACAGAAGCAUUUGAGAAUAAUUGUUACUCCCAAAGAAAAUAUACAUGUUUUAAAACCUAACAACUUCAAAGGUGAAGAUACCAAGUAAAUUGUCUUAACAAGAUUACAAAACUUAUACAAGAAACUAAUUACAUGACAUGGAAUGCAAAACUCACAACUAGGUAGGAUAUAAACUUUUGUAGUUGGCAUUUGUCUGUGAUUUCAGGAGGAAAAAAAUAGGUAAUGGCUAAAG